This is a long non-coding RNA of Gossypium raimondii (Peruvian cotton), 591 nucleotides long. RefSeq lists it as uncharacterized. The record is from RefSeq and is a predicted model, not a curated record. Lineage: Eukaryota; Viridiplantae; Streptophyta; Magnoliopsida; Malvales; Malvaceae. The transcript is spliced from 3 exons.
GAUUUCUUUCGCCCCGCAUGAAUCCAUUGAUUUUUAGCAAUCCAGAUAGCCCAAAUUGCACAAACAAAAAUUCGACUUACAUCCGCCCUACUGUUUAGCAAGACCAGAAAAUCAUCAUGAGGACAAUUAGCCAGUGGAAUUCGUAAAAUCUUUCGUGUAUCACCUUCAGAAAAGCAAACCUUCAGCAUCCAGGGCCCAAACAUCUUCCUCGAUUUUAAUGUCACGGCCAACUUCCACCCUCCAACAAAGUCCAGACAGUAACCUAUAUACUUUUCCAAGUAUAUAAAGGUAUAUUCCCUAACUCUAAAUUUAAGAAAUCAGAAUUUGGAUGAUAUUUAGCUCUCAAAGUUCGGGCUAGGAGAGAAUUAGGAUGGUCAAUUAAUCUUCAGCCUUACUUCGCGAGAAUGGCCAAAUUAAAUUUUGCUAAGUAGCAAUAACCGAGACCACCACUCUCUUUUAACUCACACAAUCUUUUCCAUUCACACCAGUGAAUACCACGUCUCUCAUGACCCUUUUGCCACAAAAAAAUUGCUAUUAUUUGCUACAUCUCUUCGCAUGUCGAUUUCGGCAAUAAAAAACAUGCCAUUGUAU